This 490-nucleotide ribosomal RNA is filed under the name uncultured bacterium. Its description in RNAcentral is "partial 16S ribosomal RNA". It matches the Rfam family "Bacterial small subunit ribosomal RNA", at positions 28 to 507 of the family's 1533-position model. The record is from RNAcentral.
GAUGAACGCUCGCGAUAGGCUUAACACAUGCAAGUCGAGGGGCAGCAUGGUCUUAGCUUGCUAAGGCUGAUGGCGACCGGCGCACGGGUGCGUAACGCGUAUGCAACUUGCCUCACAGAGGGGGAUAACCCGUCGAAAGACGGACUAAUACCGCGUACACUCUAUGUUGGGCAUCCAAUGUAGAGGAAAUGAAAUUCGCUGUGAGAUAGGCAUGCGUCCCAUUAGCUAGUUGGUGAGGUAACGGCUCACCAAGGCGACGAUGGGUAGGGGAACUGAGAGGUUGAACCCCCACACUGGUACUGAGACACGGACCAGACUCCUACGGGAGGCAGCAGUGAGGAAUAUUGGUCAAUGGGCGAGAGCCUGAACCAGCCAAGUCGCGUGAAGGAUGACUGUCUUAUGGAUUGUAAACUUCUUUUAUACGGGAAUAACAAGAGUCACGUGCGGCUCCCUGCAUGUACCGUAUGAAUAAGCAUCGGCUAACUCCGUG